ACAUGUGCCACAUUUGAAAUUUGUUUAGAGAUUAAUCCUAAUAGGUGGUUGUGCCUACCUUUUAAUCAAAGCAUGUAUCCAUUUAGUAUUUCUAAUGGCGAUCAAUAUUUACCCAAGGACUCGGAAUUCGCC
Physella acuta is the source of this 132-nucleotide long non-coding RNA. RefSeq lists it as uncharacterized. Lineage: Eukaryota; Metazoa; Mollusca; Gastropoda; Physidae. The record is from RefSeq and is a predicted model, not a curated record.